GCACUGGUGGUGUAAUGGUAACAUCUAAGCUUCCCAUGAGCGUUUUCGUGACUGGUCACCACUUAGUGGUGUUUGUAUGCUUAGGCCCCGGGUUCGAUUCCCGGCCAGUGCA
Molecule: non-coding RNA, 112 nt
Organism: Xylariomycetidae sp. FL0641
Lineage: Eukaryota; Fungi; Ascomycota; Sordariomycetes
Source: the annotation of a GenBank genome assembly